AUUUCUGAGACAAUGUAUACUUAACUUCUUUCUUUUUCUGGUCAGGUGCUAAUCUGUUAUUCCUGUGUACCAGGAGUUGUCUGUUAAUGAUGCAUAAUAGGACUAUUUUAGUCCACAAAGCUGGAGGAGAUGCAUAUAUAAAUCAUUCUUCCCCCCACCACACUCUUCUGGGAAGCACAAUGAACAUACAUUAAUAAUGACUGCAGUAAAGAUUAGCGCUUUCUUGGAGCUGAAGUGAAGAAAAAAUACAGCUUUCUCUCAGGAACAUUCAACACUUCAAAUAGACAUCUGCUAAAUGAUAUUCUGUAUUUCUUCUGAUUAGCUAAGAAGGCUUGCAGGUUUCCUGGGAACAGUCAGAGUUUUCUUGUAUAUCUUCGCUCUUGGGCUGUUCCCAGGGCAAUGGCUAUUGCAAUUGGACUAGGUCCCUUUCAAGGACUCAUCUCCUUAUUUUCAUCCCCGGAGGCUUGCUAUCAGAAUUAACCAAUGGUAACACAGGAGAUCCCUCACUAAGGCACCAAAACUUUGUCCAAGGAAUAUAAGAGAGAGUACUUCCUGACUGGAAAAGCCAGAAAGAACAAAACUUGUCCUAAACCCACCCAUGAAGCACACAAACCAGAGUCAUGCCCUAAGAGCAUAUGUGCUCUUUGACCAACUGCUCCCUGGCUGAGAUGUCUCUAUUUUCUUGAGCGUUCUGGAAACAGACCCAGAAAUCCUCUCCUCAAGAGUUCAAACACCCUCGGUAAAUGAGAGCAAACCUGUUCUUCUACUCUGUGUCUGGACAUACUGGCCUGGGUCAGAGCUAGCACAAGAACAGCUGAACUGCACCACGUCAAGGUACGAUCCUGGCCUCAGUAACCAUUUCCGAUACUUACUUGCAGUGUCUAUUUGGGGAAGGAGUGCAGCAAGCUUGAGACCUAGAUCUUGGGAAAAAGACUCUUAGGAGACUCUAAUUUAAACCUAGAAGAAGCAAUAACGAUUUGGCAGACUACACAGUAGAAUCAGAGAAGAAGGAAAAUUUUGGAGAUAAAGAAGACAAUGCUCUGAUGAAUCAGAUGAUGAAACCAAAACGCUGUAGAAACAUGCAGACACAGGAACGUAUUCAAGACAUUAAGACAAAAUCUGAGAAAAAAAAAUCAAAUUGAGUUUGCAAGAAGUAGAAUGCACUAUGUGUGGAAGAAAUCAUAGCAUGUACCCUGUGGACAGAAGUGUUACAUUUGCAAGAAACUAAUAGUCUGCAGACCAGAUUGUCCGUUCCUCUGAGGGAAAAGAGGAAGUUUGCAUGCAUCUUCCACAGUGAAGCAGGCUUCUGUAGCACACCCUACAGCAACAUACUGCUAUGAUAACACUUGAGAAUUUUCUUCAGUUAUAUUUGGGAGAACUGUUCAAAAGACCUUGAGUAGAUUGAAUACUGUUUGGAAAAAGAAUGGGAACCUUACAACAUACGGAAUAGAGAGUAGAGCACUAACUGAUAUGAUGUAAGAAGUUGCAGUAAAUAGCCUGAAGAACAAACACAGUCACAGUGAAGACAGAUGGAAAUCAAAUUAUACAUCUGGGAAAUCAUUUCUAUUAUGGGUAUAUGUAAGAGAGGUAUAAAGGCAAAAUAGGAUCUUGAAAAGAUAAUUGCUUAAUGAAAUAGAGUAGUUGUUGAAAGAACAUGUCAAGAAGUAGAAAUCUUUGAGAGAAUUUUUGCUGUAGAAGCACAGGAACCCAUUAUGAUUGAUUGCAAAAUCCAAACAGAGAGAAAGUAUAAACUAAGAAAGAGCAAAGAAAAAGGCAAAUUCCAAAGAAGAAGAUAAAUGUCAAGAAGUAAAUAGGAAGAAAGUAGGAAAGAAAGAAAAAAGAAAGGAAGGAAGGAAGAAAGAAAGAAAUGAAAGAAGGAACUAUUAAAAAGCUUACUGGCAAAUAGAAACACUUAAUAAGCAAAUAACAGAAACAAAAAA
Molecule: long non-coding RNA, 1940 nt
Filed under: Struthio camelus australis
Lineage: Eukaryota; Metazoa; Chordata; Aves; Struthioniformes; Struthionidae
Description: lncRNA (ENSSCUG00000008586.1)
Source: RNAcentral